AUUUCGCAAUUUAUGCUUUGUUUAAUUAUUAUGUUUUAUUUAAAUACACGCCAUUAAUGGAAAAGCGUAUUCAAUUAACAUACAGAAUCAUUAGUUGCAUGGGAAUAUAAAAAUAAAAUAAAAAGUUAUUUACACUAACACCUCCUUGAGGUUUUUUGUGUUUUCACAUCAUCCUUAAUGUUCUAGAAAUUACACAAACACCCCCAUUAGAUUUCAAAAUGAUUUCACAUAACUUCAAAAUCCAAAUUUUAAAUAUUAAAAAAAAAAACCCUAAAUUUAGAUGUAACACUACUUAUGGAUAGAUCUGGCAAAAUCCCACACGACAUGAUAACACGAUACGAAUUCGCACGAAAAAUUCAAUAUUCAGAUUGGAGUUAUCGCGUCGUGUUGCUAUUGUGUUGACCCAUUAAGCUAACGGGUCGUUUUGGUGUCCAUACACGAACCAACCUGUUAAGUGGAGAUAAUUUUGUAAUUUUCAAUUCUAAAAAAAAAAUACCUUAUAACCCUAGCAUCUCUUCAUUCCGCAGCUUUUUUUCUUUCUCUGCAGUUUUCUUUCUCUAUCUCCCAAGACCUCAUCUUCUCCUUCUUCUUGCUUUGCUCUGCUCUCUCUGUCUUUGAAGAUCUUCCCUGCUGCCAAAUCCUCUCUCAAGGUGAAACGGGUCGUGUUAUGUGAUUCGCGAAUUGAAGCGGGUCGUGUUCGUGCUUGAUAUUUUCACGAAUGCCAGGUUCUCAAUUUGCCGUCCGUGAAUAACUUGUGCAGUUCUAAGUAGUUUUGAUGAUUUGAAAACCCUAAGCUAGCUACCCCUCCUCCAGGUCAAAUUUCACUCUUCUGUUUGGUAGCUAGUGUGUUGCUAUAAGCUGGUUAAGUUUCUGGAUAUGAUUAGUGAUAAUUAAGAAGCAUACAUACAUACAUACAUACUUUUGGCUAAUUAAGUUUCUGAAGAUGGAGAAGAGAUAGAGGAGCAUUUCAAGCAUGGCGGUGGUCACCACAAGUCUGUCAACAUCGCUGGCGUUCAACACUUUCUUAAAACGGCGCCAUCUCGAUCUCUCUUUCUCACUCCUCUCUCUCAACCUGCUGAGCAGGUUUUCAAGUUAUCUCAUUCAAUGAUGUAGAUCUGUCCUUAUUAUUUUGUCUAAAUAUAACUGUCAA
This is a long non-coding RNA of Prunus persica (peach), 1150 nucleotides long. RefSeq lists it as uncharacterized. Lineage: Eukaryota; Viridiplantae; Streptophyta; Magnoliopsida; Rosales; Rosaceae. The record is from RefSeq and is a predicted model, not a curated record. The transcript is spliced from 3 exons.